This 245-nucleotide ribosomal RNA is filed under the name uncultured archaeon. Its description in RNAcentral is "partial 16S ribosomal RNA". It matches the Rfam family "Archaeal small subunit ribosomal RNA", at positions 474 to 718 of the family's 1478-position model. The record is from RNAcentral.
UCCCGGCGCCACAAGUGGGGACCAUGGUUAUUGGGCCUAAAGCGUUCGUAGCAGGUCGGAUAAAUCUCUUGUGAAAUCGUUGGGCUUAACCUAACGGCGGGCAGGAGAGACUGUUCGACUAGAGACCGGGAGGGGUUAGGAGUAUUCCUUGGGGAGCGGUAAAAUGCUAUAAUCCUUGGAAGACUACCUGUGGCGAAGGCGCCUAACCAGAACGGGUCUGACUGUGAGGGACGAAAGCCAGGGGA